AGGACGAACGCUGGCGGUGCGCCUAACACAUGCAAGUCGAACGGUGAACCGGGCUUCGGCCCGGGGAUCAGUGGCGAACGGGUGCGUAACACGUGGGCAACCUGCCCCCGACCCUGGGAUAACCCCGGGAAACCGGAGCUAGUACCGGAUACUCUCCUCUGACCACCUGGUCGGAUGAGGAAAGGUCCGCCGGUCGGGGAUGGGCCCGCGGCCUAUCAGCUUGUUGGUGGGUAACGGCCUACCAAGGCAUCGACGGGUAGCUGGUCUGAGAGGACGACCAGCCACACUGGGACUGAGACACGGCCCAGACUCCUACGGGAGGCAGCAGUGGGGAAUCUUGCGCAAUGGGCGAAAGCCUGACGCAGCGACACCGCGUGGGGAUGAAGGCCUUUCAGGUCGUAAACCCUUCGGCAGGGACGAAGCGAUCUCGUGACGGUACCUGCAGAAGAAGCCUCGGCUAACUACGUCGCCAGCACGCCGC
Molecule: ribosomal RNA, 481 nt
Filed under: uncultured soil bacterium
Lineage: Bacteria
Description: bacterial SSU rRNA
Rfam family: Bacterial small subunit ribosomal RNA
Source: RNAcentral